UUUAGACCUGGGACACCAGGUGUGUGCAAUUAAUGAUCAGGUAGAACAGAAAACCAGCAGGCUCCGGAACAGAAAACCAGGUAGAACAGAAAACCAGCAGGCUCCGGAACAGAAAACCAGGUAGAACAGAAAACCAGCAGGCUCCGGAACAGAAAACCAGGUAGAACAGAAAACCAGCAGGCUCCGGAACAGAAAACCAGGUAGAACAGAAAACCAGCAGGCUCCGGAACAGAAAACCAGGUAGAACAGAAAACCAGCAGGCUCCGGAACAGAAAACCAGGUAGAACAGAAAACCAGCAGGCUCCGGAACAGAAAACCAGGUAGAACAGAAAACCAGCAGGCUCCGGAACAGAAAACCAGGUAGAACAGAAAACCAGCAGGCUCCGGACCUCGUAGGGUAACAACAGAAAACCAGCAGGCUCCGGACCUCGUAGGGUAAGAGUUGAAUACUCCUAAUUUAGUAUAUAGUAACAGACUUGUUCAGUCCAGAUACUUCACACAGCCUUUCUUAGUUCAGGAUGUGUGCAGGAGUGCAGGGAAUCACAUAGGCCUAUCAUUUCCCAAUGC
Oncorhynchus keta (chum salmon) is the source of this 567-nucleotide long non-coding RNA. RefSeq lists it as uncharacterized. The transcript has 3 exons. NCBI's taxonomy places the organism in Eukaryota, Metazoa, Chordata, Actinopteri, Salmoniformes, Salmonidae. The record is from RefSeq and is a predicted model, not a curated record.